GACGAACGCUGGCGGCGUGCCUAAUACAUGCAAGUUGAGCGCUGAAGGUUGGUACUUGUACCAACUGGAUGAGCAGCGAACGGGUGAGUAACGCGUGGGGAAUCUGCCUUUGAGCGGGGGACAACAUUUGGAAGCGAAUGCUAAUACCGCAUAAAAACUUUAAACACAAGUUUUAAGUUUGAAAGAUGCAAUUGCAUCACUCAAAGAUGACCCCGCGUUGUAUUAGCUAGUUGGUGAGGUAAAGGCUCACCAAGGCGAUGAUACAUAGCCGACCUGAGAGGGUGAUCGGCCACAUUGGGACUGAGACACGGCCCAAACUCCUACGGGAGGCAGCAGUAGGGAAUCUUCGGCAAUGGACGAAAGUCUGACCGAGCAACGCCGCGUGAGUGAAGAAGGGCUUCGGAUCGUAAAACUCUGUUGGUAGAGAAGAACGUUGGUGAGAGUGGAAAGCUCAUCAAGUGACGGUAACUACCCAGAAAGGGACGGCUAACUACGUG
RNAcentral lists this ribosomal RNA (497 nucleotides) under uncultured bacterium. Its description in RNAcentral is "partial 16S ribosomal RNA". It matches the Rfam family "Bacterial small subunit ribosomal RNA", at positions 28 to 507 of the family's 1533-position model. The record is from RNAcentral.